AGCUUCGUGCAGUGGCAGUAUCAUAGCCAAUGAGGUUUAUCCGAGGUGCGAUUAUUGCUAAUUGAAGAAAAAACAAACAAAA
RNAcentral lists this small nuclear RNA (82 nucleotides) under Dasypus novemcinctus (nine-banded armadillo). Its description in RNAcentral is "U4 spliceosomal RNA (ENSDNOG00000028287.2)". It matches the Rfam family "U4 spliceosomal RNA", at positions 1 to 80 of the family's 138-position model. Rfam says of the family: U4 small nuclear RNA (U4 snRNA) is a component of the major U2-dependent spliceosome. The structure of U4 snRNA from yeast and human has been reported. U4 snRNA presents a k-turn RNA motif in the 5p-SL related to recognition of Snu13 protein. Lineage: Eukaryota; Metazoa; Chordata; Mammalia; Cingulata; Dasypodidae. The record is from RNAcentral.